GAUGAACGCUAGCGACAGGCUUAACACAUGCAAGUCGAGGGGCAGCGAGGGCGUAGCAAUACGCCUGUCGGCGACCGGCGCACUGGUGAGUAACACGUAUGCGACCUGCCCCCUACAGGGGUAUAACCCGUAGAAAUGCGGACUAAUCCCCCAUAGUCCUGGGUGCUGCAUGGCAUUCAGGGGAAAGGGUUUCCGGUAGGGGAUGGGCAUGCGGCGCAUUAGCUAGUUGGCGGGGCAACGGCCCACCAAGGCGACGAUGCGUAGGGGUUCUGAGAGGAAGGUCCCCCACAUUGGAACUGAGACACGGUCCAAACUCCUACGGGAGGCAGCAGUGAGGAAUAUUGGUCAAUGGGCGAGAGCCUGAACCAGCCAAGUAGCGUGCAGGACGACGGCCCUAUGGGUUGUAAACUGCUUUUAUAAGGGAAUAAAGUGAGUCUCGUGAGACUUUUUGCAUGUACCUUAUGAAUAAGGACCGGCUAAUUCCGUG
RNAcentral lists this ribosomal RNA (487 nucleotides) under uncultured bacterium. RNAcentral describes it as "bacterial SSU rRNA". It matches the Rfam family "Bacterial small subunit ribosomal RNA", at positions 28 to 507 of the family's 1533-position model. The record is from RNAcentral.